This 423-nucleotide ribosomal RNA is filed under the name Bacillus tropicus. Its description in RNAcentral is "bacterial SSU rRNA". It matches the Rfam family "Bacterial small subunit ribosomal RNA", at positions 370 to 786 of the family's 1533-position model. The record is from RNAcentral. Lineage: Bacteria; Bacillati; Bacillota; Bacilli; Caryophanales; Bacillaceae.
UCCAGUCGAAGUCUGACGGAGCACGCCGCGUGAGUGAUGAAGGCUUUCGGGUCGUAAAACUCUGUUGUUAGGGAAGAACAAGUGCUAGUUGAAUAAGCUGGCACCUUGACGGUACCUAACCAGAAAGCCACGGCUAACUACGUGCCAGCAGCCGCGGUAAUACGUAGGUGGCAAGCGUUAUCCGGAAUUAUUGGGCGUAAAGCGCGCGCAGGUGGUUUCUUAAGUCUGAUGUGAAAGCCCACGGCUCAACCGUGGAGGGUCAUUGGAAACUGGGAGACUUGAGUGCAGAAGAGGAAAGUGGAAUUCCAUGUGUAGCGGUGAAAUGCGUAUAGAUAUGGAGGAACACCAGUGGCGAAGGCCACUUUCUGGUCUGUAACUGACACUGAGGCGCGAAAGCGUGGGGAGCAAACAGGAUUAGAUACC